This 253-nucleotide ribosomal RNA is filed under the name uncultured bacterium. RNAcentral describes it as "partial 16S ribosomal RNA". It matches the Rfam family "Bacterial small subunit ribosomal RNA", at positions 524 to 776 of the family's 1533-position model. The record is from RNAcentral.
UACGUAGGGUGCGAGCGUUGUCCGGAAUUAUUGGGCGUAAAGGGCUCGUAGGCGGUCUGUCGCGUCUGCUGUGAAAACUCAGGGCUUAACCCUGAGCUUGCAGUGGGUACGGGCAGACUAGAGUGCGGUAGGGGAGACUGGAAUUCCUGGUGUAGCGGUGAAAUGCGCAGAUAUCAGGAGGAACACCGGUGGCGAAGGCGGGUCUCUGGGCCGUAACUGACGCUGAGGUGCGAAAGCGUGGGGAGCAAACAGG